This 74-nucleotide transfer RNA is filed under the name Opitutus terrae PB90-1. It matches the Rfam family "tRNA". From Rfam's summary of the family: Transfer RNA (tRNA) molecules are approximately 80 nucleotides in length. Their secondary structure includes four short double-helical elements and three loops (D, anti-codon, and T loops). Lineage: Bacteria; Pseudomonadati; Verrucomicrobiota; Opitutia; Opitutales; Opitutaceae. The record is from Rfam by way of RNAcentral.
CACGACGUGCCCGAGCAGCCCAAGGGACCAGCCUGCAAAGCUGAGGAUCGCGGGUGCGAGUCCCGCCGUCGUGU